UGGCUCAGAGCGAACGCUGGCGGCAGGCCUAAUACAUGCAAGUCGAGCGCCCUUUCGGGGGAGCGGCGGACGGGUGAGUAACGCGUGGGAACGUGCCCUUUGGUACGGAACAACUGAGGGAAACUUCAGCUAAUACCGUAUGUGCCCUAUGGGGGAAAGAUUUAUCGCCAUUGGAGCGGCCCGCGUUAGAUUAGCUAGUUGGUAGGGUAACGGCCUACCAAGGCGACGAUCUAUAGCUGGUCUGAGAGGAUGAUCAGCCACACUGGGACUGAGACACGGCCCAGACUCCUACGGGAGGCAGCAGUAGGGAAUCUUGCGCAAUGGGCGAAAGCCUGACGCAGCCAUGCCGCGUGAAUGAUGAAGGUCUUAGGAUUGUAAAAUUCUUUCACCGGGGACGAUAAUGACGGUACCCGGAGAAGAAGCCCCGGCUAACUUCGUG
RNAcentral lists this ribosomal RNA (439 nucleotides) under uncultured bacterium. RNAcentral's name for it is "bacterial SSU rRNA". It matches the Rfam family "Bacterial small subunit ribosomal RNA", at positions 20 to 507 of the family's 1533-position model. The record is from RNAcentral.